Non-coding RNA from Podarcis muralis (Common wall lizard), 907 nucleotides. The record is from RefSeq and is a predicted model, not a curated record. NCBI's taxonomy places the organism in Eukaryota, Metazoa, Chordata, Lepidosauria, Squamata, Lacertidae.
UAGAAUACAUCAACAAACUCAUACAGGGUAGAAACCUUUAAAUGUAUGGAGUGUUGAAAGAGCUUCAGACAGUGUGGAGACCUUAAUAUUCAUGAGUGAAUUCACCCAGGUGAAAAGCCGUAUCAAGUCUUAAGGAAAUUAGCCCUGAGUGCUCAUUGGAAGGAGAAAUCAUGAAGCUGAGGCUGCAAUACUUUGGCCACCUCAUGAGAAGAGAAGACUCGACUUCCAGGGUCGGCGCCAUCGGUAAUGGUGGAUUCCCUCUAACUUUGAGGGAUUAAGCUUUGCGGAAAUUGGGUCUUGCCGCUACGGCAAAGCGGGGACCCCUCUAAAAAUCACAGGCGGGUGAAGCCUGUGACCGUGGGACUCGGUGGACACCUUCAGUGCCCCCCCAAUUCAGCGCCCCACCUGGAAAGUCGACUGAAAAGGACUAUAAUCCUAACAUCAAUACAAGAGAUCUCCCUCCCUUGGUUGGAGGAGGGGGGGGGAAAGGGAGAAGUAAAUUUUCCUGCAAAAAGAGAGGAAAGGAAACAAAAGUCCACCGCUUAAAGCCUGGGAACGGGCUGCCAAUGGACAAUAAGAUUGCCGCAUUGUGAAGCGCACUGCUUAUGGACAAUGUAAUUUUUGACAGCUAACUCUGCAAGAGAGAUACAUUGUUUCUGACUGGUUUCUCCUGAUUUUAAGGUAACAAAACUAACUGAAAUUGAAACUGUUGCUUAUUUUGUUAAAUGGGGGACUAGAAAAAGUUAUUUUAAUGCAACAAGUAUUGACUGUUACUGUGUCCCCCUAGAGGAAGUUUGAAAUUGUUACAACAACUGGCCAGGGGCAUUUUCCACUUCAAAACAAACUCUGGCCGUGGGAUCGACCUUGGGCUCCAGUUAAAGUGUUAUGGCAGAUGGAAAAGAAAAAA